Molecule: ribosomal RNA, 700 nt
Filed under: uncultured bacterium
Lineage: Bacteria
Description: bacterial SSU rRNA
Rfam family: Bacterial small subunit ribosomal RNA
Source: RNAcentral
GAGCGAUGGAAGCUUGCUUCUAUCAAUCUUACUGUCGAACGGGUGAGUAACGCGUAAUCAACCUGCCCUUCAGAGGGGGACAACAGUUGGAAACGACUGCUAAUACCGCAUACGAUCUAAUCUCGGCAUCGAGGAUGGAUGAAAGGUGGCCUCUAUUUAUAAGCUAUCACUGAAGGAGGGGAUUGCGUCUGAUUAGCUAGUUGGAGGGGUAACGGCCCACCAAGGCGAUGAUCAGUAGCCGGUCUGAGAGGAUGAACGGCCACAUUGGGACUGAGACACGGCCCAGACUCCUACGGGAGGCAGCAGUGGGGAAUCUUCCGCAAUGGACGAAAGUCUGACGGAGCAACGCCGCGUGAGUGAUGACGGCCUUCGGGUUGUAAAGCUCUGUUAAUCGGGACGAAAGGCCUUCUUGCGAAUAGUGAGAAGGAUUGACGGUACCGGAAUAGAAAGCCACGGCUAACUACGUGCCAGCAGCCGCGGUAAUACGUAGGUGGCAAGCGUUGUCCGGAAUUAUUGGGCGUAAAGCGCGCGCAGGCGGAUAGGUCAGUCUGUCUUAAAAGUUCGGGGCUUAACCCCGUGAUGGGAUGGAAACUGCCAAUCUAGAGUAUCGGAGAGGAAAGUGGAAUUCCUAGUGUAGCGGUGAAAUGCGUAGAUAUUAGGAAGAACACCAGUGGCGAAGGCGACUUUCUGGACGAAAACU